Molecule: unclassified non-coding RNA, 428 nt
Filed under: Hevea brasiliensis (rubber tree)
Lineage: Eukaryota; Viridiplantae; Streptophyta; Magnoliopsida; Malpighiales; Euphorbiaceae
Source: RNAcentral
GACAAGUCUUUUGGCACUUCCCUGUAUUAAUGGAAAUUCAAUGAGUAACUACAAACAAAGGCCCCUAUAAUUACUAUGAGUAUAGGAUGAGUUCAAGAAUAAACACGAAAAAGGAAGAGAGAAGAAGCGAGAGAGAACAGAAAUCAAAUCAUGAAAAAUUAAGCUAUGGGUAAUCUAAGACAAAUAUGUUUAGUAGAAAUGUCCAAAACUAAACACACCCUUCCUUUCCUUGUGAAAGAAGGUUUACUCUUGUCCAAAGUGUUCUACUGAAUAGCUAAGCGACAAUGUUCAGGAUAAGGCUAACACCAAGUGAAAAAUUAGAUCUGAAGUAGCUUAUAGAGGCUUAAAUGUUAAAGGGAACAGAGGUACAAGUAAUUCAAUAUUAAUGCACAUAAGAUAUGAUUGAAAAAAAAAAAGAGGAACAAAAU